Molecule: ribosomal RNA, 389 nt
Filed under: Syndiniales sp.
Lineage: Eukaryota; Dinophyceae; Syndiniales
Description: partial small subunit ribosomal RNA
Rfam family: Eukaryotic small subunit ribosomal RNA
Source: RNAcentral
AUUCCAGCUCCAAUAGCGUAUAUUAAAGUUGUUGCGGUUAAAAAGCUCGUAGUUGGAGUUCUGCCAGGUGCCACCUGUCCGCCCCAGUGGUGAGUACGUGGUGCGCAUUUGGCCCUUUCAAGGGGAGCGUAUUUGCACUUAAUUGUGUGGUGCGGGAUCCUUGACUUUUACUUUGAGGAAAUAAGAGUGUUCCAAGCAGGCUCUCGUCGUGCAUAGCUCAGCAUGGAAUAAUAGCAUUGGACCUCGAUUCUAAGCUGUUGGUUGCCAGAAGCGAGGUAAUGAUGAAGAGGGAUAGUUGGGGGCAUUCGUAUUUAACUGUCAGAGGUGAAAUUCUUGGAUUUAUGAAAGAUGAACUCAUGCGAAAGCAUUUACCAAGGAUGUUUUCAUCG